UCAAACCCAAAUCGCUUCACGCAUCAAACCGCUCAUCUUCACGCCCUCAGAUCUUGGAUUUCUCUCUUCAGACCUCAAAUCCCAAACCGCUACUCUUCACACACAACUCAGAUCGAUUUCUAUUUACCAAUCUCACGGUAUACUUGACUUCUCUCUGCUUUGGAUUUCGACUUAGCUUAUUAUUUAUUUUACGUUGUUUAUGAUCCAAAUAUGAGAAUCUGUAGUGUAGUUUUUCUGGUUUUGAUUAUUUUUUUUUUGUUCUCAUUUUGAAUGGUGUGAUGUUUCCCUUUUGAAUGAUAUGUACGAAUUUUUAGCUACUGUGAAUAGAUGAGAUUGAGCAAGGAAAUAAUUUAUGGUUCAUUUCAUGAUUUUCCUACUUUUUUGUGUUAAUUUCAUGAUUUUGAAAUUUGGGUCGCUGUUAUUUUUGGUCAAUAUGUUUAUUUAGAAUCAACUUUUAUGCUAAGACUUGUUGUACUUAAGUUUUUUUACUGAUUAAACUAAUUAGUAUGAAGAUGAAGAACUAAUUAAACUAAACUUGUUUACAUGAAGUUGUGGGUCUAUUAACAGUUCAGUUUUUUAUUGGCUGAUAUACAAUAUGUGCAAGACUUUUGUAGUCACAGUUUUAAUUAUUAAUUUUUUCCAUUGAUGGAUAAUGUGGUUGUUUAUGUUUUUUGUUUGUUUUGGAUCAUUUUGACAAAUUCUUUAAUUUGAAGUUCAUGAAUGCUCUAUUAUGUAUGAGUUAUAGAAAUUGGUGGAAUAGGUUGGUGUUCUUGAUUAGCUUGUCUAUAUAUUUAUGUUAUUGAACUUGAGGAAAUUUAGUCACAUGGUUUUUUCAAUCAAAGCAAUACAAAGAUUGCUACAUAUAAACCGAGUGGAGCAAUCUAUAUGGCAAUAUUUAGAUAUUGACGAUUGAGUUUUGCUCACAAAACUGAGUGUUGUGUUUUUUCGUAAUUAAAAUCUCAUUUGAUGUUUGUUUGGGAAUGGUACCACAAUUUACAGCGAGCUUUUUGGUGCUGAGUUACAGGACCAAGCCAACAUUUCANNNNNNNNNNNNNNNNNNNNNNNNNNNNNNNNNNNNNNNNNNNNNNNNNNNNNNNNNNNNNAAGUAUUUUGCACAGUGUUGAACAACAUCAACUUGUUAUAUCGUGAGUCUCUUUAUCAACUUCAACUUAGAUUGGGGUUUCCCUAAAUUUUGCCAAAACCCUGACAUCCUCUUUCAUCCCAAAUUAAAUUUCUCUGUUCUUGGCUCAGUUAGAUGUUUGAUGUUAAUUUUUCUGAUUAUUAUUUGCAUGUUUUUCAUAUUCUGUUCAAUUUUAAGCCUAACAAGAUUUGGUCAUAUUUGAAUGGAACUUUGUUGGUUUUUGGUGUGUAUAAGUUUUCGAUAAUUGUUUAUACUUUCUAGAUUUUGAUUUUGGGUUUGCGGGUUUUUGUGAAAUAUAGUGAUUACUAAAUACUAGAUACUAAUUACUAUUUAAUACUUAGUAUGUAGAGGAUAAUGGUUUUAUGAAUGAGCUAGCCAAUUCACGUUGAGUUAAAACUCAUGCUUGGAGUAUGAAUGAACCAAUUUAUCUUGACUAAAACCUCAUGAAAUUGAUAUUGAAAUGCCAAAUUACUUGUUAUUGAAAUUGAUAUUGAAUGUGAAAUUGAAAUUGAUAAUCAAUUGUAUGAAAUGUUAACACAUUUGGUGUAGGUGAAUAAUGUAGUACAACUAAGCGAGAAGAAGGAAUUAACUGAAACAUGCCUUAAAACAAACUACUUUGGUGUAGGUGAACAUUGGAGAACUUGGCAUUUACUUUUAGCAAGAAAGGGGCAUAGUUGCCAAAAUCAAGUUAACAUUCAUUAAUUCUNNNNNNNNNNNNNNNNNNNNNNNNNNNNNNNNNNNNNNNNNNNNNNNCAUUUUCUUGGAAUAUGUAGACAAAUUCGAUCCUUACCAAGCAAUUGAAAAUUGUGGUGCAGGAAGCAAUUUACUCUUAACACAAAGUGAUUUUGAUUAGAAACUUAAUUUGUCUGAUUGUGAGUUAUUUGUAAUUCAAUUUUCCACUACUAAUUUCAUAUUGUCUACAUUUUUUAAGUUAUUUCUAACCUGUGUAUCUGACCUUAAAUUAUGUAAGCCUAUCUAAUUGUUUGAUUUUAGCUCUUCUUUUAUUUAAUUUAAUUAUUCAAUUAGCUAUGUAGACACCAUUGUGUUUGGUUUUACAGCCCUCUACCAUCUAGAGGAAGUCUAGGUAUCGUUGUUUGUAUUUAAGAGUUGUUGUAUUCUUGUUGUUGAGUUGCAUGGUUAUUUAUACUGAGACAAAACUUCUGAAGUGUAUUGGAUAUCUUG
This 2323-nucleotide long non-coding RNA is filed under the name Trifolium pratense (red clover). Its description in RNAcentral is "long non-coding RNA (TPRA_LNC007949)". The record is from RNAcentral. Lineage: Eukaryota; Viridiplantae; Streptophyta; Magnoliopsida; Fabales; Fabaceae.